UACCAGAUGGUGUAAUGGUCUGAGUGCUGGACUAGGACUCUAGGAGGCCAGGGUUCGAAUCCCUGCUUGGCUG
This is a non-coding RNA of Phrynosoma platyrhinos (Desert horned lizard), 73 nucleotides long. The record is from the annotation of a GenBank genome assembly. Lineage: Eukaryota; Metazoa; Chordata; Lepidosauria; Squamata; Phrynosomatidae.